CUCGACCGCAGUAAUAUUCGGCUAAUCCAAUACCACCACCUUCUGGCUUUGCAGUAGCUUCAUUGCUGUUACGAAGGAACCUCCAUCAUACUUCCUUGGUGUGGGUGAAAGCAAAGGAAUCAUAUUUUGUAGGACCCUCUGUUUUGCCAGUAGGUCAUGCUCUCUUUGGGAACUUAAAUGCCUUCUCUCUCUUUAGGAAUUGGAUUGUGUUGGAAGAAAUACCUGCUGGGUAUUUUUGUCCUGCUGGAGCAAGUUGCCCGGUGCCGUGCCAGCCAGGUACAUACAAUCCUCUCCAAGGACCGGAUGAAGCCGCCGAUUGCCGAGCCUGCCCAGCAGGGAGAGCUUGUACUCAGACUGGUUCUGAGCAUAUUUGCUGGUGCUACAGUCACGUCUAUGGCUGGUGGCCAUAGUGCUGGGGAUUGGAGUUUGGACUCCAGGGUUCUCAUCUCAGCUAAGGAGACUGUGCUGAGGGAUUCUGGUGCCCGAGUAAGAAACCCCCAAGAUGGGAGAAUCAGGACUUCCUUGUCCUCCUGGUCAUUAUUGUCCUGAAGGUGCUCUGCUUCUGUUGCAGUGCCCUCCUGGCACGUGGUCUGGCAGUGAAGGUAGAAGGAGUGUGCAGGAAUGCCAGCCGUGUCCUGGGGGGUAUUACUGCAACAGCUCUGGGCAGAGGGCACCCUCAGGACACUGCAGCCCAGGGUAAGUAGGAGAACAUCACACUUAUGUACUCUGU
This 730-nucleotide long non-coding RNA is filed under the name Calidris pugnax (ruff). RNAcentral's name for it is "lncRNA (ENSCPUG00000019391.1)". Lineage: Eukaryota; Metazoa; Chordata; Aves; Charadriiformes; Scolopacidae. The record is from RNAcentral.